AGCGAACGCUGGCGGCAGGCUUAACACAUGCAAGUCGAACGGGCAUAGCAAUAUGUCAGUGGCAGACGGGUGAGUAACGCGUGGGAACGUACCUUUUGGUUCGGAACAACACAGGGAAACUUGUGCUAAUACCGGAUAAGCCCUUACGGGGAAAGAUUUAUCGCCGAAAGAUCGGCCCGCGUCUGAUUAGCUAGUUGGUAGGGUAAUGGCCUACCAAGGCGACGAUCAGUAGCUGGUCUGAGAGGAUGAUCAGCCACAUUGGGACUGAGACACGGCCCAAACUCCUACGGGAGGCAGCAGUGGGGAAUAUUGGACAAUGGGCGAAAGGCUGAUCCAGCCAUGCCGCGUGAGUGAUGAAGGCCCUAGGGUUGUAAAGCUCUUUUGUGCGGGAAGAUAAUGACGGUACCGAAAGAAUAAGCCCCGGCUAACUUCGUG
RNAcentral lists this ribosomal RNA (435 nucleotides) under uncultured bacterium. RNAcentral's name for it is "partial 16S ribosomal RNA". It matches the Rfam family "Bacterial small subunit ribosomal RNA", at positions 29 to 507 of the family's 1533-position model. The record is from RNAcentral.